UACGGAGGGUGCAAGCGUUAUCCGGAAUCACUGGGUUUAAAGGGUGCGUAGGCGGUUUGAUAAGUCAGUUGUGAAAUCCCCCGGCUUAACCGGGUGGACUGCGAUUGAUACUGUUAGACUUGAAUCAGGUUGAGGUAGGCGGAAUGUGACAUGUAGCGGUGAAAUGCUUAGAUAUGUCAUAGAACACCGAUUGCGAAGGCAGCUUGCUAGACCUGGAUUGACGCUGAGGCAUGAAAGCGUGGGGAGCAAACAGG
This 254-nucleotide ribosomal RNA is filed under the name uncultured bacterium. RNAcentral's name for it is "partial 16S ribosomal RNA". It matches the Rfam family "Bacterial small subunit ribosomal RNA", at positions 524 to 776 of the family's 1533-position model. The record is from RNAcentral.